Salvia hispanica is the source of this 344-nucleotide non-coding RNA. The record is from RefSeq and is a predicted model, not a curated record. NCBI's taxonomy places the organism in Eukaryota, Viridiplantae, Streptophyta, Magnoliopsida, Lamiales, Lamiaceae.
UUUCGUGAAGCCGUCAGCUUCUGCGAGGUUUAGUCACCGGAGAAAUUUGAAAGCGGUUGAGCUUAACAUUUCAUCCAGCUAUGGCCAGCGGAAGCCCGAAGACGAGAUGAUCCAACUCAUCCACCACGCCAUCAACUCCGGCGUCACAUUUCUCGACGCCUACGGUCCCCACACCAACGAAAUUCUUAUUGGAAAGUUGAUUGAUCUUGUUUGUUGAUUUUCCGCCGAGUAUUAAUGUUAGAACACUUUUGAGAAGAGCUAAUUCAAGUGAAGAUGUAAUUGUGUAGUUAUGCACUGUGAUUGUGACAAUCUUCAUGAUUAUUGAGCUUAAUUUCGUUGAGGUU